Molecule: ribosomal RNA, 321 nt
Filed under: Triticum aestivum (bread wheat)
Lineage: Eukaryota; Viridiplantae; Streptophyta; Magnoliopsida; Poales; Poaceae
Description: partial small subunit ribosomal RNA
Source: RNAcentral
AUGGCUACGAAGAAAUAUUUCUUCUGCUAUGGAUCCUUCUCUAUUAAGGACGGCUCAGAAAUUAGAUUCUGGGAGGACAAGUGGCUAGGAAAUGCCACACUCCGGGAACAAUAUCCGGCUCUAUACAACAUUGUGCGCCACAAGGGUGAUACUAUCGCCACGGUAAUGGAAUCAUUUCCGCCAAAUGUGACGUUCAGAAGACAUUUAAUUGGACCCAGACUCCAUUCGUGGAACAUCCUACUCCAGCGGUUGUCCACGGAGCAAUUGUCACAUGGGUCUGAUCUAUUCUGAUGGAACCUCCGUGAGAAUGGACAAUUCUGA